Long non-coding RNA from Hippopotamus amphibius kiboko, 3350 nucleotides. RefSeq lists it as uncharacterized. The record is from RefSeq and is a predicted model, not a curated record. The transcript has 3 exons. NCBI's taxonomy places the organism in Eukaryota, Metazoa, Chordata, Mammalia, Artiodactyla, Hippopotamidae.
AAUUAAGUUUUAAAAAUAAUUCAAUAUGAAUGAAAUUCUAUUUCUUUUGUCUUGUAGGUCCACCUGCUUCUUGUAUAACUCACUGUCAUCAUUAGUACUCAGUGUGUACAGAUAAAAGAUACUUCACAAACCAAGUACAAAAACACAAAUCUUGAUAUUUAUCAUGAAAAACACAAAGGAAGUGUUGAUUUCUUUUUUGUAGUUCGUAUAUAUCUGUUUUAGUGAAACUUCUCAGUGAUGAAAGCUUAUUGAGGCAGAAUGAGUAGGGGACCGAGAAUGUGGCUCCAAGAUCUGGCCCCGAUUGAUGUUGGACAAAUCACUUAAUACCUUUGAACCUCUUGGCUUAUUGGUAAAAAAAAAAAAAAACAAAAAAAAAAAACUGAGAAGAUGAACUACCCUUCCUCACCUCACAUGAUUUCUGGGAGGAACCAAAAGGGUGCUAUACAGUAGGGCACUUUAUAAAGCAUAGCACCUCUGCGAGGGGUUAUCACCAUUAAACCUUCCAUUCAAUGGAGGUAAAAUGUUUUUUAUUAGUAUUUAGACUAAUUUUUUUUUCUUUUUUCUUUUUUUAGCAUCAGAAUUAUACAUUUGUCCUAGGGCCUGAGGUAAGAAAGAGGAACAAACUUUUCCUUACUGGUCUAUAGCACUUCACCUUCCCCAGCUAAUAUUUUGGGCAUUAGAAGAGGAGGAAGAGGAAAGAGGAUUGGAGGAAGAGGCGGAAAUAAUGGUUUGCUACAUCUGGGAAGGAGGACAAACUGGCCAAAAAAAGAAAACAAAACAAGAACCUUGCUCUUGCAGGCACCAUUAACCCUUCUGCCAUGUAUAUAAUACUGUGUAGUCUAAUGUUCUCUUUUUUAUGAUGGUUCUUUAUUUCUGGAAAAACAAAAACAGUAACAAAAUUCAUCACUUCAAUAAUGUUAUUGGAGGGUUAGGUUUUUUUGUUUGUUUGCUUUUUGUUUACAUUUUGGGUCUGCCAAAAUGACACCUUCUACCUUUAUUCUCAGAAGUUUGUUUUCCCUCUUCUUCUCUUCCAUGUGGGACACUUAAAUAAUUUAUUCAUUUCAGGCGUGCUCUGAAUGUCAGCUCAGUGACCUCUCCCAGUUUCUCUAUUCACCUGCCAAAACCUGCAGGAAUUAGAGCAUACUGCCAUGGCACACCAUCCUGAGGCAGCAAAGGCUAGUAAAGAGUUUGACUGUCAAAAAAGUCCAUGGGAUUUAGAAUAUUUGUGUUCAUUUUAAAUGGCUGCUAAAUGGUCUACGUGGUUUUUUCUCUCAGAACUCGUUUAGGGUUUUAUUAACAGCAUAUAAGCAAUUAAGAUUCUCAGAAUAUUUCACUGAAUUUAAAUAAAACAAGGCCCUUAUCCUCUCUUUUGUUACAUGGUUUAGUAAUACCUUCCUAAGUUGCACAGUUUCAGGGCAGAAGAAAAAUCAAAUAUAUCCUAUGAAAAUCAAAAAAUUCUUUUUGUGAAAAAAUUAUCUUCAUUACUAAACCUCUCUUGCUUAUGAUUUUGAAUUGAGCGGUAGCCAGGAGAAAGAUAUAGUAAGAUUAUGAGCUUCCUAAUAUAAAAAUGUAUUUAAAAAAUACAAAAACCUUAUAACAUCAUUAGCAAAUAUGUCUUUGGAAGGACAUCAGACAAUAUUAGGUCAAUAAAAUAAUUUUAUGAAUUAAGAAUAUUAUAAACAGAAAAUUUGCAAUUGUAGUUCCAUUUUCUGCACAUUUUAACAAACUUAAAAAUCAAUCUAUUUUGCUUUCAGUAAUUUGUUUUAAACUACAGAGAAUGGAAAUAUAGUCUUUAAAAGCACCUGGUAGGUGCCCUAGUUGUGAGGAGAUGCGAACUCCGCAUCUUCCCACUUUGCCAUCUUGACUCCUCCUCCUAGUUUUUAAAAAAUACUGAGGAAUCUGAUAUUGUUUAUAUUCAGACAUUCUAAAUUAGGUGGCAGAAUUUCUUUCUGAGCCUUGUCUAAAACCUGACAUCUUGAUUUUGAUAAUUACACUGAGAAACACACCAUAAUAUAUAAGAAAGUGGCAGUAUCAUCUAUAUAAAUUUACCCUGUUUUUCCAAAACAGGAUGUAAAUAGCUAUCUUGCUGUCAAAAACAAUUUAAAUGGCCAGGAUGAUGUAUGCAUUAGAGAUGCACGUAUAGAGGGAAACACUUGAGUAAAUGGAAAUGAAGUCAAGGACUAAAUUACGUGAUAGAGACAUAAUAAUCAAAGCAACACCACUUGUUUUCAUAGUGCUUUAUAAAGCAGUUUUAGGAACACUGAUUGUCAGAGGUUGAUAGGAUCAGUCUCUAUGCUUCCAAAAAUGAGAAAACUGAGGCUUAGUGAGAUUAGGUGAUUUACCCAAGGUUACACAGAAAAUGGCAAAGUGGCAAGAUAGUUUUCAUUUCCAUUUUCCAUGACAGUACAGUGUCCAUAUUUGCUUUAUGAAGUGAGCUUUCCUUAUUCAGUGGAAGAGAGGCCUCAGAUAUUAUCUGGUGAUUAUAUGCGUUUUUAAGUAGAUAAGUUAUUAGUAAUUUGAUUUGUAUUUUCUCUUACCCUGUAUCUCUUUACUUCUUAAUCUUGAGACUGCAAUAUAUUUUGCAGUCUCCAGAAAACACCCUGCAUCUAUCUUUGGUUGCUAACUCAAAUAGCACAGGUUGAUUGAGCUCCUGUAUGUGUUAAGGAUAAUGACUGGAUGCCUUGAUGAUGAAAGCACUUGAAGCUUACAACCACAUAGAUUAAUAUUACAAGGCAAUUUCAGCCCUUUUUUUUUUCCAUGCUGUGAUUUAACAAAAGACAGUUGUCCUGUGUAUAGCACACUUAUUUUCUCUCUGACUUAUUAUGGAAUACCAGUAAAUGAGAGUGGUGUAAUUUCAGGGAUAACCUUAAAUCUGCCCUAUUUUGAAAAUUUUGGUAUUUCCACUAGUAUUGGUAGUAAGUAAUUUGUGGUACCUUUGCCAGUGAUUUUGAUUCAUCAGUGCUUUUUGAUAUUGUGGCUGGGAAUUAUUGAUGUAAGAGACUUCCCUCAGAGAGGGUAUAAUUGCUUUCAAGAGAGGAUAGUUAUAGAAGAAGGCUAACAGUAUGAGUUACAGUAUUCUCAUAGAGGUUGUUUUUCUUUUCGGUAGGACCUUGAAAUGUCCAACCAGAUGGACAGGAGGAAGGAUGCUAAACAUGAGAAUCUUCAAAAGAAUGUGAGCUCUAUGAAGCCAAGGAUAUUAGAUUGUUUUCUUCACUGACAUCUUUCCAGUGCCUGUGACAUUGCUGAGCUUAUUACAGACCCCCCUACAAAGACUGAAACCUCCUACAACUCUCUACUGACAUUAUUUCCUUACACCUCUGGCGCUACUACGGGGAGAGGAGUUCUCUAGG